RNAcentral lists this ribosomal RNA (527 nucleotides) under Anastrepha bivittata. Its description in RNAcentral is "partial small subunit ribosomal RNA". The stretch from base 395 to 527 matches the Rfam family "Bacterial large subunit ribosomal RNA", at positions 2473 to 2605 of the family's 2925-position model. Lineage: Eukaryota; Metazoa; Arthropoda; Insecta; Diptera; Tephritidae. The record is from RNAcentral.
AAACAUGUCUUUUUGAAUUGUAUUUAAAGUCUGACCUGCCCACUGAAUAAAUUUAAAUGGCCGCAGUAUUUUGACUGUGCAAAGGUAGCAUAAUCAUUAGUUUUUUAAUUGAAAGCUGGUAUGAACGGUUGGACGAAGUAUAAGCUGUUUCAUUUAAAUUUAUAAUAGAAUUUUAUAUUUUAGUUAAAAAGCUAAAAUUUUAUUAAAAGACGAGAAGACCCUAUAAAUCUUUAUAAUUAACAUUAACUAAAUUUUUUUGAUUUAUUUUAUUUUUUUAAUAUUAAUUAUUUUGUUGGGGUGAUGUUAAAAUUUAAUGAACUUUUAAUUUUUUAAAAUCAUUAAUUUAUGAAUUAUUGAUCCAUUAAUAAUGAUUAUAAGAUUAAGUUACUUUAGGGAUAACAGCGUAAUUUUUUUUGAGAGUUCAUAUCGACAAAAAAGUUUGCGACCUCGAUGUUGGAUUAAGGUAUAAUUUUGGGUGUAGCUGUUCAAAAAUUAAGUCUGUUCGACUUUUAAAUCCUUACAUGAUC